CCCUUGGGACUGGGAUAGCCGCGGGAAACUGCGGGUAAUACCAGAUAACGUCUCCGGACCAAAGGUGUGAUUCCGCCUGAGGACGGGUCCGCGUUCUAUUAGCUAGUUGGUAGGGUAAUGGCCUACCAAGGCGAAGAUGGAUACGGGGUGUGAGAGCAUGCCCCCGCUCACUGGGACUGAGACACUGCCCAGACACCUACGGGUGGCUGCAGUCGAGGAUCUUCGGCAAUGGGCGCAAGCCUGACCGAGCGACGCCGCGUGCGAGAUGAAGGCCUUCGGGUUGUAAAUCGCUGUCAGUGGGGAGGAAAUGCCGGUGGGUUCUCCCAUCGGUUUGACCUAUCCGCAGAGGAAGGACGGGCUAAGUUCGUGCCAGCAGCCGCGGUAAGACGAACCGUCCAAACGUUAUUCGGAAUCACUGGGCUUAAAGGGUGCGUAGGCUGCCCGGUAAGUUGGGUGUGAAAGCCCUCGGCUCAACCGAGGAAUGGCGCCCAAAACUGUCGGGCUAGAGGAAGAUAGAGGUGAGCGGAACUAAGGGUGGAGCGGUGAAAUGCGUUGAUAUCCUUAGGAACACCAGUAGCGAAAGCGGCUCACUGGGUCUUCUCUGACGCUGAGGCACGAAAGCUAGGGGAGCGAACGGGAUUAGAUACCCCGGUAGUCCUAGCCCUAAACGAUGAGCACUGGUUUGGAGGGUCCUCCAUAGCCCUCCAGACGUAGCGAAAGUGUUAAGU
RNAcentral lists this ribosomal RNA (728 nucleotides) under uncultured bacterium. Its description in RNAcentral is "bacterial SSU rRNA". It matches the Rfam family "Bacterial small subunit ribosomal RNA", at positions 129 to 865 of the family's 1533-position model. The record is from RNAcentral.